UUCCGAUCUGCGAAAUUCCUUGUCGGGUAAGUUCCGACCCGCACGAAAGGCGUAACGAUUUGGGCACUGUCUCAACGAGAGACUCGGUGAAAUCAUAGUACCUGUGAAGAUGCAGGUUACCCGCGACAGGACGGAAAGACCCCGUGGAGCUUUACUGUAGCCUGAUAUUGAAAUUCGGCACAGCUUGUACAGGAUAGGUAGGAGCCUUUGAAACGUGAGCGCUAGCUUACGUGGAGGCAUUGGUGGGAUACUACCCUAGCUGUGUUGGCUUUCUAACCCGCACCACUUAUCGUGGUGGGAGACAGUGUCAGGUGGGCAGUUUGACUGGGGCGGUCGCCUCCUAAAAGGUAACGGAGGCGCUCAAAGGUUCCCUCAGAAUGGUUGGAAAUCAUUCAUAGAGUGUAAAGGCAUAAGGGAGCUUGACUGCGAGACUUACAAGUCGAGCAGGGUCGAAAGACGGACUUAGUGAUCCGGUGGUUCCGCAUGGAAGGGCCAUCGCUCAACGGAUAAAAGCUACCCUGGGGAUAACAGGCUUAUCUCCCCCAAGAGUUCACAUCGACGGGGAGGUUUGGCACCUCGAUGUCGGCUCGUCGCAUCCUGGGGCUGUAGUCGGUCCCAAGGGUUGGGCUGUUCGCCCAUUAAAGCGGUACGCGAGCUGGGUUCAGAACGUCGUGAGACAGUUCGGUCCAUAUCCGGUGUAUGCGUAGGAAUAUUGAGAGGAUUUCUCCCUAGUACGAGAGGACCGGGAGGAACGCACCUCUGGUGUACCAGUUAUCGUGCCAACGGUAAACGCUGGGUAGCCAUGUGCGGAGUGGAUAACCGCUGAAAGCAUCUAAGUGGGAAGCCCACCUCAAGAUGAGUAUUCCCAUGGGGUAACCCAGUAAGGUCACGGGAAGAACACCCGUUGAUAGGCUCUACGUCGAAGUUCAGUAAUGGAUGCAGCGGAGGAGUACUAAUAGACCGAGGGCUUGACCCC
Molecule: ribosomal RNA, 976 nt
Filed under: seawater metagenome
Description: bacterial LSU rRNA
Rfam family: Bacterial large subunit ribosomal RNA
Source: RNAcentral